GUCCCUAUCGUCUAGCGGUUAGGAUGACUGGUUCUCAGCCAGCCGACCAGAGUUCGAAUCUCUGUAGGGACACCA
RNAcentral lists this transfer RNA (75 nucleotides) under compost metagenome. RNAcentral's name for it is "tRNA-Glu". It matches the Rfam family "tRNA". From Rfam's summary of the family: Transfer RNA (tRNA) molecules are approximately 80 nucleotides in length. Their secondary structure includes four short double-helical elements and three loops (D, anti-codon, and T loops). Further hydrogen bonds mediate the characteristic L-shaped molecular structure. tRNAs have two regions of fundamental functional importance: the anti-codon, which is responsible for specific mRNA codon recognition, and the 3' end, to which the tRNAs corresponding amino acid is attached (by aminoacyl-tRNA synthetases). tRNAs cope with the degeneracy of the genetic code in two manners: having more than one tRNA (with a specific anti-codon) for a particular amino acid; and 'wobble' base-pairing, i.e. permitting non-standard base-pairing at the 3rd anti-codon position. The record is from RNAcentral.